AGUGAACGCUGGCGGCAGGCCUAAUACAUGCAAGUCGAACGGCAGCACAGCAGAGCUUGCUCUGUGGGUGGCGAGUGGCGGACGGGUGAGGAAUACAUGGGAAUCUGCCCAGUCGUGGGGGAUAACGUAUGGAAACGUACGCUAAUACCGCAUGCGCCCUACGGGGGAAAUCGGGGACCGCAAGGCCUGACGCGAUUGGAUGAGCCCAUGUUCGAUUAGCUAGUUGGCGGGGUAAAGGCCCACCAAGGCGACGAUCGAUAGCUGGUCUGAGAGGAUGAUCAGCCACACUGGAACUGAGACACGGUCCAGACUCCUACGGGAGGCAGCAGUAGGGAAUAUUGGACAAUGGGGGCAACCCUGAUCCAGCCAUGCCGCGUGAGUGAAGAAGGCCCUCGGGUUGUAAAGCUCUUUUGUCCGGAAGAAAAGCAAUCGGUUAAUACCCGGUUGUUCUGACGGUACCGGAAGAAUAAGCACCGGCUAACUUCGUGCC
RNAcentral lists this ribosomal RNA (490 nucleotides) under uncultured bacterium. RNAcentral describes it as "bacterial SSU rRNA". It matches the Rfam family "Bacterial small subunit ribosomal RNA", at positions 29 to 509 of the family's 1533-position model. The record is from RNAcentral.